This 292-nucleotide long non-coding RNA is filed under the name Elaeis guineensis (African oil palm). RNAcentral describes it as "long non-coding RNA (EGUI_LNC076741)". The record is from RNAcentral. Lineage: Eukaryota; Viridiplantae; Streptophyta; Magnoliopsida; Arecales; Arecaceae.
GAAGGCAACCAAGGCUCUCUAUCACUUCUGUUACUACUAUGUCCCAAAUGCUGUUUCAAAGAGAAAUGAAACUGCUGGGAAGGGACAUUUAUUCCAUUCACUAUGCUUUAUUGUACCUCUGCUUUAUAACUCAGCUUUCUACCGCUGUAUUUCACACAUUCUCCACCAACAAAUGCAUCACUCUAUCUGCCUCGGUACACUGUUCCGGAUACUAGUACAGAGCUUCAUGUUCAAGGGUCUUUUGGGCUGCUUCAAUCCUAUUUAUCUAUAUCUACUUAAAUACUACAUGCAC